CUGUAGGUGAACUGCGGAAGGAUCAUUAC
Molecule: ribosomal RNA, 29 nt
Filed under: Rauschoides alternata
Lineage: Eukaryota; Metazoa; Platyhelminthes; Cestoda; Cyclophyllidea; Anoplocephalidae
Description: partial 18S ribosomal RNA
Source: RNAcentral